This 377-nucleotide unclassified non-coding RNA is filed under the name plant metagenome. RNAcentral describes it as "partial contains 5.8S ribosomal RNA, internal transcribed spacer 2, and large subunit ribosomal RNA". The stretch from base 1 to 104 matches the Rfam family "5.8S ribosomal RNA", at positions 51 to 154 of the family's 154-position model. The record is from RNAcentral.
AAAUGCGAUAAGUAAUGUCAAUUGCAGAAUUCAGUGAAUCAUCGAAUCUUUGAACGCACCUUGCGCUCCUUGGUAUUCCUUGGAGCAUGCCUGUUUGAGUAUCAUGAAAUCUUCAAAGUAAAUCUUUUGUUAACUCAAUUGGUUUCUACUUUGGUAUUGGAGGUCUUUGCAGCUUCACACCUGCUCCUCUUUGUUCAUUAGCUGGAUCUCAGUGUUAUGCUUGGUUCCACUCGGCGUGAUAAGUUAUCUAUCGCUGAGGACACUGUAAAAGGUGGCCAAGGUAAAUGCAGAUGAACCGCUUCUAAUAGUCCAUUGACUUGGACAAUACUUUUAUGAUCUGAUCUCAAAUCAGGUAGGACUACCCGCUGAACUUAAGC